Argiope bruennichi is the source of this 631-nucleotide long non-coding RNA. RefSeq lists it as uncharacterized. The transcript has 3 exons. The record is from RefSeq and is a predicted model, not a curated record. NCBI's taxonomy places the organism in Eukaryota, Metazoa, Arthropoda, Arachnida, Araneae, Araneidae.
CUACUAGAAAGAAGCCAAAGAGUGCCGGCAAUUCGCCAACGGAUUUCGUCAUUGUUUUAGUUAUUUUUCUAAUCCUCGUUAGGUGGAUGCAACGUAUUUUUGGGAGUUACGCUCCGAUUUUCCAGGAAUGCAAUGUGUAAACUUUGUUGAAGUGCCAUGAGUUUUUUAGAGAAGUGGUUUUGGCGGGAAAAUUCCCAGUCUCACUGCCUGUGUCUUUCGAAUGAGGAAAACGAUGAUGAUGUUGAAAGAAGUGUAGAAAAUCGCUUGAUGAAGGUUUACAUAUUGCAAGAAAAAUGAUAAUGAAAGAAGUGUUUAACUGGGCACAAUCAACCUAACCAUCAUAAACAAAGAAAGCUACAACACCUAGCAUUGUACAAGUAAUGCAGAAAAUAUGAAGAUUCAGUAAAUUGAAUUAAGAAUAUACAAUAAAUGUAUAUUUGAAGAAUCUUAAAUUAUCUGAACAAAUUAUCAGAUUCAAAAUUGAACUUUGGCCUUAUAAAAUGUAUGGCAAUUAAACUGAAACUUCAAUUAUUGCAUAUCCGAUGUAACUUUUCAAACUUGUUGGCCUUUUCAUGUUUUAUAUAUUUUAUGUAAGAGCAAAGAUUUAUUAAUAAAAAAUAAUUCAAAUGAA